GACGAACGCUGGCGGCGUGCUUAACACAUGCAAGUCGAACGGUGACCCAGGGCUUGCCCUGGUGAUCAGUGGCGAACGGGUGAGUAACACGUGGGCAACCUGCCCCCUGACUUCGGGAUAACUCCUCGAAAGAGGAGCUAAUACCGGAUACGACCACUUCGGACAUCCGAUGGUGGUGGAAAGUUUUUCGGUCAGGGAUGGGCCCGCGGCCUAUCAGCUAGUUGUGGGGUAAUGGCCUACCAAGGCGACGACGGGUAGCCGGCCUGAGAGGGCGACCGGGCCACACUGGGACUGAGACACGGCCCAGACUCCUACGGGAGGCAGCAGUGGGGAAUAUUGCGCAAUGGGCGAAAGCCUGACGCAGCGACGCCGCGUGA
Molecule: ribosomal RNA, 377 nt
Filed under: uncultured bacterium
Lineage: Bacteria
Description: bacterial SSU rRNA
Rfam family: Bacterial small subunit ribosomal RNA
Source: RNAcentral